CAGUGAGAUACCACUCUUGGUAAGCUAGAAAGCUCAGUCUUAACCGUUAUCCGGUAAGACGACAGUUUCAGGCGGGCAGUUUGACUGGGGCAGUCACCUCCCAAAAGGUAAUGGAGGUGCACAAAGGUUCCCUCAGGUUGGACGGAAAUCAACCAUAGAGUGUAAAAGCAUAAGGGAGCUUGACUGCGAGACUGACAUGUCAAGCAGAGACGAAAGUCGGUUUUAGUGAUCCGACGGUGCUGCGUGGAAAGGCCGUCGCUCAACGGAUAAAAGUUACUCUAGGGAUAAC
Molecule: ribosomal RNA, 289 nt
Filed under: uncultured eukaryote
Lineage: Eukaryota
Description: partial large subunit ribosomal RNA
Rfam family: Bacterial large subunit ribosomal RNA
Source: RNAcentral